UCUUAUCAAGAGUGGUGGAGGGACUGGCCCUUUGAAGCCCAGCAACCAAUAUAAUAGUUCAUUUACUAUUUUACUAUGGUGCUAAAUCCUGCGGUAAAUUUUUUAAAUUACUGAAAGAUGAGA
RNAcentral lists this non-coding RNA (123 nucleotides) under uncultured Clostridium sp. RNAcentral describes it as "SAM riboswitch (S box leader)". It matches the Rfam family "SAM riboswitch aptamer (S box leader)". Rfam says of the family: The SAM riboswitch is found upstream of a number of genes which code for proteins involved in methionine or cysteine biosynthesis in Gram-positive bacteria. The SAM riboswitch acts at the level of transcription termination control. Lineage: Bacteria; Bacillati; Bacillota; Clostridia; Eubacteriales; Clostridiaceae. The record is from RNAcentral.